RNAcentral lists this unclassified non-coding RNA (212 nucleotides) under Hevea brasiliensis (rubber tree). The record is from RNAcentral. Lineage: Eukaryota; Viridiplantae; Streptophyta; Magnoliopsida; Malpighiales; Euphorbiaceae.
AGAGAAGCUCGUCAACAAGAAAAUAAUUCUGAUGUAAAUUUUCUCGGAGUAAAAUCAAAUUUAUCCAACACUCCAUAAUUAUUCUCAACAAUUUCAUCAGAUUUAAGGGCAAAAAUUAUAUUAAUUUUUUUUUCAAGAUUCUGUUCAUCAACGUCCAUGAAUCCAGAAUCAAUAUUAGUAGCUUCUUGAAUCCCCAGCUUCUCUAACCCCAG